This 468-nucleotide ribosomal RNA is filed under the name uncultured bacterium. Its description in RNAcentral is "partial 16S ribosomal RNA". It matches the Rfam family "Bacterial small subunit ribosomal RNA", at positions 28 to 507 of the family's 1533-position model. The record is from RNAcentral.
GACGAACGCUGGCGGCGUGCUUAACACAUGCAAGUCGAACGGAAAGGCCCUGCUUUUGUGGGGUGCUCGAUUGGCGAAGGGGUGAGUAACACGUGAGUAACCUGCCCUUGACUUUGGGAUAACUUCAGGAAACUGGGGCUAAUACCGGAUAGGAGCUCCUGCUGCAUGGGGGGGGUUGGAAAGUUUCGGCGGUUGUGGAUGGACUCGCGGCUUAUCAGCUUGUUGGUGGGGUAGUGGCUUACAAAGGCUUUGACGGGUAGCCGGCCUGAGAGGGUGAACGGCCACAUUGGGACUGAGAUACGGCCCAGACUCCUACGGGAGGCAGCAGUGGAGAAUAUUGCACAAUGGGCGGAAGCCUGAUGCAGCAACGCCGCGUGCGGGAUGACGGCCUUCGGGUUGUAAACCGCUUUCGCCUGUAACGAAGCGUGAGUGACGGUAAUGGGUAAAGAAGCACCGACUAACUACGUG